UAACUCUGUGCCAGCAGCCGCGGUAAUACAGAGGGUGCAAGCGUUAAUCGGAAUUACUGGGCGUAAAGCGAGCGUAGGUGGCUUGAUAAGUCAGAUGUGAAAUCCCCGGGCUUAACCUGGGAACUGCAUCUGAUACUGUUAGGCUAGAGUAGGUGAGAGGAAGGUAGAAUUUCAGGUGUAGCGGUGAAAUGCGUAGAGAUCUGAAGGAAUACCGAUGGCGAAGGCAGCUUCCUGGCAUCAUAUUGACACUGAGGUUCGAAAGCGUGGGUAGCAAACAGGAUUAGAUACCCUGGUAGUCCACGCCGUAAACGAUGUCUACUAGUCGUUGGGUCCCUUGAGGACUUAGUGACGCAGCUAACGCAAUAAGUAGACCGCCUGGGGAGUACGGCCGCAAGGUUAAAACUCAAAUGAAUUGACGGGGGCCCGCACAAGCGGUGGAGCAUGUGGUUUAAUUCGAUGCAACGCGAAGAACCUUACCUGGUCUUGACAUACCCAGAAUCUUGUAGAGAUACGAGAGUGCCUUCGGGAAUUGGAAUACAGGUGCUGCAUGGCUGUCGUCAGCUCGUGUCGUGAGAUGUUGGGUUAAGUCCCGCAACGAGCGCAACCCUUGUCCUUAGUUACCAGCGGGUUAAGCCGGGAACUCUAAGGAUACUGCCAGUGACAAACUGGAGGAAGGCGGGGACGACGUCAAGUCAUCAUGGCCCUUACGACCAGGGCUACACACGUGCUACAAUGGUAGGUACAGAGGGCAGCUACACAGCGAUGUGAUGCGAAUCUUUCAAAGCCUAUCGUAGUCCAGAUUGGAGUCUGCAACUCGACUCCAUGAAGUAGGAAUCGCUAGUAAUCGCGGAUCAGAAUGCCGCGGUGAAUACGUUCCCGGGCCUUGUACACACCGCCCGUCACACCAUGGGAGUUGAUUGCACCAGAAGUGGUUAGCCUAACGUAAGAGGGCG
This 953-nucleotide ribosomal RNA is filed under the name Psychrobacter sp. 27F07-Zb1-4. Its description in RNAcentral is "bacterial SSU rRNA". It matches the Rfam family "Bacterial small subunit ribosomal RNA", at positions 498 to 1452 of the family's 1533-position model. Lineage: Bacteria; Pseudomonadati; Pseudomonadota; Gammaproteobacteria; Moraxellales; Moraxellaceae. The record is from RNAcentral.